AUUCCAGCUCCAAUAGCGUAUAUUAAAGUUGUUGCAGUUAAAAAGCUCGUAGUUGGAGUUCGGGGAAAGCUCAGUCGGUCGGCCUAAUGGGUCAGAACUGGCUGACUCUCUCUUGUUUGCGGAUCCCUCCCGGAGUUAACUCUUCAGGUUGUGGAGUCCGCAUCGUUUACCUUGAAAAAAUUAGAGUGUUCAAAGCAGGCGUUUGCUUGAAUAUAUUAGCAUGGAAUAAUGGAAUAGGACCCUGGUUCUAUUUUGUUGGUUUUGAGAGCCAGAGUAAUGAUUAAUAGGGAUAGUUGGGGGCAUUCAUAUUUCAUUGUCAGAGGUGAAAUUCUUGGAUUUAUGAAAGAUGAACUUCUGCGAAAGCAUUUGCCAAGGAUGUUUUCAUUA
This 387-nucleotide ribosomal RNA is filed under the name Telonemia sp. RNAcentral describes it as "partial small subunit ribosomal RNA". It matches the Rfam family "Eukaryotic small subunit ribosomal RNA", at positions 582 to 975 of the family's 1831-position model. Lineage: Eukaryota; Telonemia. The record is from RNAcentral.